This 887-nucleotide ribosomal RNA is filed under the name Amanita battarrae. Its description in RNAcentral is "eukaryotic LSU rRNA". It matches the Rfam family "Eukaryotic large subunit ribosomal RNA", at positions 80 to 931 of the family's 3401-position model. Lineage: Eukaryota; Fungi; Basidiomycota; Agaricomycetes; Agaricales; Amanitaceae. The record is from RNAcentral.
CUAGUAACUGCGAGUGAAGCGGGAAAAGCUCAAAUUUGAAAUCUGGCAGUCUUUUUUUUCUUCUUUGGCUGUCCGAGUUGUAAUCUAGAGAAGUGCUUACCUGCACUGGACCAUGUAUAAGUCUCCUGGAAUGGAGCGUCGCAGAGGGUGAGAAUCCCGUCUUUGACAUGGACUGCCAGUGUGUUGUGGUGUGCUCUCAAAGAGUCGAGUUGUUUGGGAAUGCAGCUCUAAAUGGGUGGUAAACUCCAUCUAAAGCUAAAUAUUGGCGAGAGACCGAUAGUGAACAAGUACCGUGAGGGAAAGAUGAAAAGGACUUUGGAAAGAGAGUUAAACAGUAUGUGAAAUUGUUGAAAGGGAAACGCUUGAAGUCAGUUAUGUUGGCURGGGAUCAACCUAGCUACUUUUGCUGGGUGAAUUUCCUAGUCUUACAGGCCAACAUCAGUCUUGACUGCUAGAAAAGAGCAGAGGGAAUGUGGCACCUUUGGGUGUGUUAUAGCCCUUUGUCAUAUGUGGCAGUCGGGACUGAGGGAUGCAGCAUGCCGCGAGGAUGGGUUUCUGACCACGUUCAUGCUUAGGAUGUUGGCUUUUAAUGGCUUCAAUCGACCCGUCUUGAAACACGGACCAAGGAGUCUAACAUGCCUGCGAGUGUUUGGGUGGGGAAAACCCUUGUGCACAAUGAAAGUGAAAGUUGAGAUCCCUGUCAUGGGGAGCAUCGACGCCCGGACUUGAGCUUUUAGCGACGGAUCCGCGGUAGAGCAUGCAUGUUGGGACCCGAAAGAUGGUGAACUAUGCCUGAAUAGGGCAAAGCCAGAGGAAACUCUGGUGGAGGCUCGUAGCGAUUCUGACGUGCAAAUCGAUCGUCAAAUUUGGGUAUAGGGGCGAAAGAC